This is a long non-coding RNA of Centrocercus urophasianus (Greater sage-grouse), 2993 nucleotides long. RefSeq lists it as uncharacterized. The record is from RefSeq and is a predicted model, not a curated record. The transcript has 3 exons. NCBI's taxonomy places the organism in Eukaryota, Metazoa, Chordata, Aves, Galliformes, Phasianidae.
CGGCAGCGGGGAGCCCCGGGAUCGCGGCCGUGCGGUACUCGUGGAAGCCUGCGGCAGCGCACCGGGAGAAAGGAAGGGGCCGGAGCACCAGCACAGACACCACUACAGAAGUGGCGAAUCAAGGGAAGCAAGGACCGUCAGUGCAGCAACCACGAAUCUUGGCUCACGAGGAAGUUAUUGUCAUGAACACAAAACUCAACAUUGCUACAACUGAAGGAAAAUCCCAGAGAAAGAAGCAGCUGCCUGCAGCACACUCUCAGCAUGCUGAUGCCUCCUACAAAACAGGAACCUGCAGGGCUUAUGUGAAAAGCAGGGACACAUCUGUACAGCAGGCAGACAGACAGACCCUGAGCCACUGUUUCUGCAUCUUAGGAACCCCGUAUGGCAGAAAAUUCUGAUGCUGGAGAAAAACUCAAGGGCAAUCUAAAAUAUAAUGCUUUAUUAAAAACCUGCAUUCCGUUUACCUCAUUGAUAACAGAGAAAACGCCUUAUUCACUGUUAAUAUGGUUAACUGCAUUCAUUAUUUUAUUCCUAAGACUGACCUUUAAAAGUUAGACAAAAAGAAAAUUAAGCCUGAUGCCAUAAGAAAACAGCUUGAUUGCAGAAACAUCAGUUUAAACAGCAAUCACAUUUACUAUCCUCCAGAUACAAAACGUAGAAAUCCAAAGUGCUCUAUUGUUAUGAAACAAACUAAGCUUCAACAUCCCUCUGAAGUAGGGGACAGUCUCACCCUCAUUUUAUUACAGAUGAGGAGAAAUUCACAUCCAGAAAAAUUGACUUGCUGUCUGUGCCACCCAGUUAGUGGCAAAGCUUGAAACAGAGGUUGUGUUCCCUCAUCUCUUAACAGGACUUUGGUUGUCCUAACAGAAUGCACAAUGUGAAAUCUGGCCAUAAAAGUUUAACAGCAAGGAUUGUCACAGGUUAUAAUCUAUAUUAUACUUUACCAGCAUUUCUAAAAGUGAAUUAUGUCUGCAAAUUUAAAAUACAAAAAAUAAAAGCAUUGCCCUGCUUCAGGCUGAAGGCAGUGAAAUACCAUGCUAUCAGUCUUUUCAAUGCCCUCCAAGCUUGGGUCGGCUUUUUUUUUUUUUUUAAUAUUUAACCAAAAAUUGUAAGAGAUGUGAAGUCACUGGAAUAUUACAGUAGGAUAGAUGUUUCCUAUUCCAAAAAUUAAAUGUCAAAGCAAAGGUUAAGCAUUUAAUUUUGCCUUGGCAUUUAGCAAGCAGUUGGAGGCUGCUGCCCUGCAGAGCUCUCUAUUUUGGCACUACUGCCUAAUUAACACCGAUAUUGAAGAACUGUUUAACAUAAGACAUUCACUCAAGGCACCAAGGCUCCUUCUCUGCAGAAAAGCUGAGGUUGUUUUUCAUUGUGUCAGGACCCCAUUAGAGCAUCAUGUAAGACUUUAUUACACUGCUUGUGUAUAAAUGUCAGCUAAUGCUUUCCACUCCUUCUUUCAGUCUGCUAAUACAAUGUUUGAAUGCACAGAAGUUCACUUAAAUUCAGAAGCCAAGAAAGUAAGGUUACAAACGAGGCUAAGAGUUACUUCUUCCUCCUAAUGGCUACUUUAAAUUCAGUCACAUCAGUAAACACAUCCAAUGCUGAUAUUCUAUGUAGGAAGCCGUUACUCUUAAUUAGCAGACGCAAAUGCAUAUAAUUAGAAAUUAGAAAUGAUAAUGUGAUACUUAAAGCCAGCAGAGAAGAUUCAUAGGAAGCACAGCUGUUUGUUCUAAAACGGGUCAGCUUACUGCAAACAGGUGAAUGCUGCAUCACCCUCUUCAGUGCUGCUUUUUUUCCAUUAUACCAGGCUGUAGAAAUAUGUAGGAAUGUGUAUGUGUGUCAGAACAGAUAUCCUUUACCUCGAAAGCAAAUUAUGAUGAGAAUUACAAAGUACACAUUGCAUCAAAAACGCAUGUUGAAAAUUAUCAGAGCUUAGCAGUGAGAUUGUACUAUCAGCGUGUCAUGAUUUUGGUGGAAGAACAUCCAGUUAACAUUCCACCCUGGAACAGUUUCAGAUAAGCAGGACUCUUCUUAAGAGAAAAUAAAUUACUUUGUACCACUUGCACAAGAAAAAAGAAGUUUAACCUAUGAACUGUGUAAGUGAUGGCAGAAUCCAUGUCUACAUUUACAAUUACUGAGCUUUCAUGUAAAUUAUGCAAUUGCGUAAGAAACAACCCAGGGCAUUCCAGAUUUCAUCAGAAAAAUGGCACAGCAGCUGUCCCUAGGAUGGGAAUCUCUAAUAGCACUAUCAUUUAGUGGUGUGCACACAUCCCAGAACACGCCUCACAGUGAAUUUCCUGAUGCUUUCCAAUUCCUGGUCUGUCCACCAGUGGAGGGAACUAUUGGACUGUCAGUGAAAUCCCACCACAGCUAUUCACCGAGGAUCUUCUCAGCCACAUCCUGAACACCUUAUCCGGACAAACACCAUGACCAUGGUUUUAAAACUGUCUUUUAAAUAGAGGAAACUAAUUGUUGCUAUGGGAUACGAGGAAAAGAAAACUAGCUAAAUCAAUGCAAAAGCUUUCCCCCCCCGGUUCUUACAGCAUAGUAAGAACUCCACAACAUGAAUCACUCCUCUUAAGGAAUAUUGUGAGCACAGAUGUGAACCACCAGCUGAAGUAUCUGUACCAGCAGACUGAUCUGACACACUCUUUCACUUUGUCAUUUUUCUGCUUAUAACUUCCCUGAACAGUUGUGCAAAGCUACCCACGUCACUUAAUCUGCUAACAUCCACUGUGAUGAAAAAAAAAAAAUCAUUUACCAAGAAAUACAAAUGCCAUACGAAUGAAUUUUUAAAAGCCAGACUUACUCGUUACAUUAUGGAAAAAACAAAAAAGUACGAGACAAAACUGAAACUAUCAAGUAAAGCAAAAAGACCAUUUCACUACAGUCUCCACUGGUGGCUUCAAAGCACUCACCAUGAUUUAAUAUAAAUAGUAUCAGUGAAGAAAAAUCGACUGAAAAAAAGAAGAAAAAUGAAAUCCACAUCACACUUUAUC